UCUUCACUUUCCCGAGCCGGGGCCGCCGCUCGGCCCUCCGCCUGCCUCGGAGGGCGUCCCGGGGCGCCCCUUCCGCGGGCCGCGGAUGGCAGCCCAGGCCUUGGCGGGCACCGCCUGGGCAACCUCAGCGGAGGUCUUGACUCUUCUGGGAAUAACGAGAUGCUGGAAAGGUUGGGCUGAGAAAGGAAGGAAGAAAAAAAAAAAAAAACAUUUGGGUCAAUGAAGGAGCGUCAGGCCGCAGCGUCGGGGGAGGGCCCUCCCCUCUCCGACUUAAGCCAAGUCAGCUGCCUCCAAAAUUGCACGUUGGGCUGUGGGAGGUACAGGUGAGGAGCCAGGACCCAGGCGGAGAAGGGACGCUUUGCGCGUGUCACGUAAGGCUUGGCAAGCCUUGACUACGGUUACCUCUGAGUCACUCUGGUCUCCGUGUCACAACCGCCAUCGGGACAUGGGGUCCACUGAGACCUUGAUGAGCCACUAGUGCUGGAAAGUUUGGGGUUUUCCUGAAGACGAUGCAGGAUCACUGGUGCAUCUGACUUGCGUUUGUAGAGAACCUGAAAAGCCGGUAGGAAGCGGCCACAAAACACCGUGGAAACAACUCAGGGAGAAGGUACAUGUGGACCCAGGGAUGGCAUCUGCUUCCACAGCUGGCUUCCUGCAGCCCCCACUUCCCCUGGUGCCAAGCAGAUUCCUUGCAGAACCUUGGCCAACAGCUGGCAUCCGGCGUACUGUAGAGCGUAUUCCCCUGCGGAUGACGUUGCUCUUGCCCCGUCCAGAAGGGAGAUGACAGAGUUGGAGUGGAGAGGCUCCUUCUACAGGAAUGUCCACCCCAGUGGGCUCCUGAGAGCGCCCUGGCCACACGCCUUGUAAGUUAAGCUUGCUCCUCUCAGAAUGAGGAGCCAUCACACAGACAUGCCCACCACCCCCAGCCUGAGAAGCAGCAUUUACAACUGCCUUCUCAGCUGCAAGUCGCCCACAUUCCGAAAGACAGGAAACACUGGAUGAAUGUCUCCUGUGCAUGUCUCUGGGCCAGAUGCUGUUCCAGGCUGGAGGACCACAGUGUGUUGCAGUUCUGGAGGUCGGAAGUCUGGAAUGAGACCAACAGGGCCAAGACCAGGGUGUCACCAGGGCUGGCUCCCCACGAGGACACCGAGCCAGAAUCCUUUGCAUGCCUGAAAGUCGCCUGCACGGCUCCACCUGUGGCCCCUUCUCUGCAUCACUACAACCUGUGGCUUCGGUCGCCGCAUCUACGGAGUCCGCACUCCUGCCUGCCUUCCCGAAGGACACAUGAAUCCCCUGGCCCUACGUGAGUAAUCUCAAAACCCCCAGUGUAAUCACGUCUGCAAAGCUGCUUUUGCCAUACAAGGUAACCCUCACAGGUCCCGGGGGUCAGGAUGUGGACAUCUUUCAGCCUGCCACAGUGCGGCAUGUGGCUUCGGCGUGGCUUUGAAAGGCACCAGCUGAUAAGGAAAUGGGAGGGGACGGACUCCCCACCCAGUGAACUUCAGCCCAUGGGAAACAGGACCAGCUCCAGAAAUAUCUCUUCUUCUCCUGGACGGCUGCUCUGAGGCAGGAGUUCCUAUACAACUUGUGCAGAGUAUCCCACGUGGCCCUGCGCCUGGGCUCUCCUGGUGGGCCGCGGGGAAGCAGGGGCCGCUUUGUCUUGCUUCCCAUCCUUCUCUGCCUCUCUCCCUUACCCUCAGUGCCCUGGGCUGCACUUCCCAAAGCUCUAGCACUUUCCCUCUGCC
This is a long non-coding RNA of Hyaena hyaena (striped hyena), 1745 nucleotides long. RefSeq lists it as uncharacterized. The transcript is spliced from 5 exons. The record is from RefSeq and is a predicted model, not a curated record. NCBI's taxonomy places the organism in Eukaryota, Metazoa, Chordata, Mammalia, Carnivora, Hyaenidae.